GUUUUCAUGUUUUCUUUUCGUUAUAAUGGACAACAGUUAUGUGUUGAUGCUGCCAAAGAGGACGACUCCCUUGGGAGACUUGUCAAUGACAACCAUUUAAACCCAAAUUGCAAAAUGAAAGCAAUGAGUGUGAAUGGAAAACCACAUCUUUGUCUCUUUGCCAUAAAAGACAUCAGUCGGGCGACGAGAUAAUGUACGACUAUGGAGAUUCAUAUUGGCCAUGGAGAUGCAAGAUUCCUACUGAGACGGAUCCUCAUGCUGGUGUGACAUCCGAGUCCCCCUUUGACAACAUCCAGCAGAUUCCUACUGAGACGGAUCCUCAUGCUGGUGUGACAUCCGAGUCCCCCUUUGACAACAUCCAGCAGGU
Long non-coding RNA from Pseudoliparis swirei, 367 nucleotides. RefSeq lists it as uncharacterized. The record is from RefSeq and is a predicted model, not a curated record. The transcript has 4 exons. NCBI's taxonomy places the organism in Eukaryota, Metazoa, Chordata, Actinopteri, Perciformes, Liparidae.